AAAACCCCGGCAGUAUUUCCCCACUCGUUUAUCACUCAACACAACAUCUCCAUCAUCAAUAAUAUCCUCUACAACAUCAUAACCACAAAUGCAAGGGUGAGCUAAGAGAAUCAACAUCAAAAUCACAUAUAAUAAUACAAUUAUAUUAAUCCAAUUAUCAAAUAAACUCCAAUUAUCACAUAUAAUGACUGGUAUGUUGGCAUGGAGCGAGAACUUUCACAAGUAGUGUGAUUGAGUGUGGUUGUUGUUGGCAUAAAGUGAAACCUUUCACAACGAGUGUGAUUGAGUGUUGUUGUUGUUGCUGAG
RNAcentral lists this long non-coding RNA (306 nucleotides) under Vigna radiata. Its description in RNAcentral is "long non-coding RNA (VRAD_LNC001299)". The record is from RNAcentral. Lineage: Eukaryota; Viridiplantae; Streptophyta; Magnoliopsida; Fabales; Fabaceae.